This is a long non-coding RNA of Bombyx mori (domestic silkworm), 483 nucleotides long. RefSeq lists it as uncharacterized. The record is from RefSeq and is a predicted model, not a curated record. The transcript has 3 exons. Lineage: Eukaryota; Metazoa; Arthropoda; Insecta; Lepidoptera; Bombycidae.
AUUAUUGUGACGUCUUCCAAUAGAGUCGCACGUGUUCUAUAACUUUACUGCUCUUGUCGUCCCUCGUACAAAAUCUAUAAUUGAACUUUAAUUAUUAUAAUUUUUUAAAUAGUAACUCAAAAGUUUAUUUAAUUUUAAUCUUUAAUAAUUCUUUGCGCGUUUUGUUUUAGUAUUAUAUAUUUAGAGCUUGUCAGAGUUUCCGAUUUCGAGGAGGAACAAUAUAGGAGGAAAAUAAUUUCUUCUUCCGAACCAGUAGCCAUUUCAAUGCGCCAAAAAGAUAUAAGCUUUCGAAGAUUCGAAGCUAUUGUAUUUACUUCUUUUACCCUUCAAGCUUAAAACAACAAAAUCAGGUGGCUUUAUACAUUGAAGGCUUGAUUCGAAGUCAGUACUAGAAGGACUCGAAGCAGAGAACGACUUGCUGCUGGGCAACUGACGCCUCCGUGUAAUUCGGCAGACCGUCUGCAGACGCUACUGAUUACUAAG